Gallus gallus (chicken) is the source of this 365-nucleotide long non-coding RNA. The record is from Ensembl. Lineage: Eukaryota; Metazoa; Chordata; Aves; Galliformes; Phasianidae.
CAAAAAGACAUCUGCACAAGGUGUAGGUGGCCAGCAGCUUUUUUUCAAUUGGCUGAACAGAAAGGUGAAAUCAAAUGUGACAACCUUUGCCUGCCAAGGGAGGGAAGGUGUGCAACACAAGCCACUGAAUAGCUUUCUGAAAGAAAAUUUUCAGCACUCACAAAGACUGUUUCCACAAAAUCACAGAAUCACAGGGGUUGGAAGGGAGAUCACCAAGUCCAACCCCCCUGAUAAAGCUGAACAGACCCAGGUUACUCAGCCUCUCCUCAUACAAGAGGUGCUCCAGUCCAUUUAUCAUCUUUGUGGCCCUCUGCUGGACUCCUUCCAAGAGAUCCCUGUCUUUUUUGGAGAGCCCAGAACUGGAC